ACUUUUAAUUCCGGAGGCGGCGGAGGUAGAACCGGUCGUGUUCC
This 44-nucleotide small RNA is filed under the name Arabidopsis thaliana (thale cress). RNAcentral describes it as "ATSL181920". Lineage: Eukaryota; Viridiplantae; Streptophyta; Magnoliopsida; Brassicales; Brassicaceae. The record is from RNAcentral.